RNAcentral lists this transfer RNA (42 nucleotides) under Lachnaea villosa. RNAcentral describes it as "partial transfer RNA-Phe". RNAcentral also lists the same sequence under 2 other names. The record is from RNAcentral. Lineage: Eukaryota; Viridiplantae; Streptophyta; Magnoliopsida; Malvales; Thymelaeaceae.
CGGGAUAGCUCAGUUGGUAGAGCAGAGGACUGAAAAUCCUCG